UGAGGAAUAUUGGUCAAUGGGCGAGAGCCUGAACCAGCCAAGUAGCGUGCAGGAUGACGGCCCUAUGGGUUGUAAACUGCUUUUAUGUGGGGAUAAAGUGCGUGACGUGUCAUGCAUUGCAGGUACCACAUGAAUAAGGACCGGCUAAUUCCGUGCCAGCAGCCGCGGUAAUACGGAAGGUCCAGGCGUUAUCCGGAUUUAUUGGGUUUAAAGGGAGCGUAGGCUGUUUGUUAAGCGUGUUGUGAAAUGUAGGAGCUCAACUUUUAGAUUGCAGCGCGAACUGGCAGACUUGAGUGCGCACAACGUAGGCGGAAUUCAUGGUGUAGCGGUGAAAUGCUUAGAUAUCAUGACGAACUCCGAUUGCGAAGGCAGCUUACGGGAGCGCAACUGACGCUAAAGCUCGAAGGUGCGGGUAUCGAACAGG
Molecule: ribosomal RNA, 424 nt
Filed under: Verrucomicrobiota bacterium
Lineage: Bacteria; Pseudomonadati; Verrucomicrobiota
Description: Verrucomicrobia bacterium partial 16S ribosomal RNA
Rfam family: Bacterial small subunit ribosomal RNA
Source: RNAcentral